GCUGUGUGACAUGCGGACAGGCUA
This 24-nucleotide non-coding RNA is filed under the name Rattus norvegicus (Norway rat). Lineage: Eukaryota; Metazoa; Chordata; Mammalia; Rodentia; Muridae. The record is from RNAcentral.